Molecule: long non-coding RNA, 268 nt
Organism: Amphimedon queenslandica
Lineage: Eukaryota; Metazoa; Porifera; Demospongiae; Haplosclerida; Niphatidae
Exons: 2
Source: RefSeq, a predicted model, not a curated record
CUGAAGCUAGCCCCACAUUGCCCAGCCUCACAUUCCAUAGUAACCACAAGGAAUUUCACACGCCCACGCAACUUCUUAACCACGAAUGUGAGGCUACAAGGAGAAUGUGAGGCUCGAUGCAAAGACCCGGGCCAAGCAGCCAGAGCCAAACUGAAUAACUUCGCUCUUUACUUGUCGUGCUCAAACUAUUCCUAGUUAUAGGCUGGCUUGAUUAACUUGAGUAUCUCUUGGUAUCUUGCUUUCUAAUAUACAAUUUACAGCUGCUUCA